AGGCGAGCCGUCACGUCACUGUCGCGUGUAGAGUCGCCGCCGCACCCAACCGCCGACGCGUGCUCCGUCGCCCAUGUUGGAAGAGGAUGGCCAAGCCUCCGUUGCUGGAAAACAGUGCUGCCGUAGCUGAGGUCCACUUCCGUUACUGUCAGUAGAGACUCGGGUCGCCACCGUCACUCGAGGUAGCUGCCAGAGCUGCUACCGCUCCGUUACCUCAUUUCUCUUUAGAUGCAUUUUGGUGUUGCCUUGAAUUUCCAGAGUUGUUUAUUUCUGCGUUUGAUUCCAUCAAAUUCAAUGUUGCUGCGAGUGUAAUCGGAGUUGGUAAUGCCGCCAUCAUAUCUCAACUUGGCCAACAUCAUCCUCCUUGUUCUGAUUCCAAUUUCUCCAAUUUUGAAACCCCCUUGUGGCUCCCAUUUUCGGCUUUGGUGCUGCCUUAGGACAGGGACUGUUGAAGCUACGACUGAUUCUGUAGUAGCUUGUUGCUGCCACCAAUGCUGAUUUAUGAUAGAAUGAUGAGGCUGUGAUGUUGAGAGUGCAGUCCAGCCUACUGUCUCGCCAAAAUUUUGCCUUCGGUUUCUUUUAAUUGCGACAUUGAAUGUUGGUUGGCUUUUGUUGGAAAUGAAUUGAGAUCUGGGAAGGAUUAUAAUAUUGGAAAUGAGCUUGAUUUGUUGAAAAAUGAGUUUAAAUUGAAAAUGGUUUGAGAUAUUGAAAUUGGUCUGAUUUUGAAAUUGAAUUGAAAGAAGUUUGAGAAAUGGUUUUGUUGGGACCCAAAAAGGGUGGCAGAAUCCGAGUUUGAGAGGAGAUAUUGCCGAAAUUUUAUAAAAUUAGAAGUUUCAUUUAAAGUAGCUAUUUUAAAAAGGUUUAAUUUUAAGCAUUAUAUGGUUUAAAAUUAUUUUAUUUAUCAAAGAAAAAAUUAUGUUUUGAAUUGAGAUUGUUAAUGAACAGAAUGGAAAGAAGGAUGAUGAGGAUUUUCUUUGAAAUAUGGUUUUUGAAUGAAUUUGAAAAUGAGAUAUGAAUUGAUGAAUGAUGAUGAUGUUGAGAAUGUUGAACUUAUGAAUUUGGAAAUGAGAUAUGGCUUAUGACUUUGAAUUAUCUGAGAUGCGAGGUUCCCUGAAUAAAGUGUCAUGGCUUGCCACCAUGUGUACCAAGUUGAAAAUUCGAUAUUUUGUUGACCCUACAACGUAAGUGUGACCGGGCACUAUAUAAAUUCCCGGGAAUGUAACUCCCAUUGGGCAAUAUUGAUUAUUUAAGAAAAAGCUAUGCGUAUACUCUUGGGGAUGCACGUUGGGGGACAAUCUAAGUUCAAUUCAGACUUGUCGGGUUGGAUGGAUAACCGACAGAUGAGCCUCAUCAGCUAUAGGAUAAGCAUGCAUCAUAUGCGUUUCUAUGUUUUGCUUUGGUUUGAACUUGUUUUGGUUUGCCUAAUUGCUAAACUGUUUAUAAUUGAUACAUGAACUAUUUGCUGUAACUGCUACCUAAACCUGUGCUUUUCUUGUCUGUCUUGCCUGUGUUUGUCUUGGUUUGCUACAUUUUAGAAUGAACUUUGGUGCUAAAUUAAUAAUUGUGUUGUUUGAUUGCAUAGUUAGUUCUGAUUGAGAAUUUCUUAUACAAGGAAAUGUUUUGGAUUUUUGAAAGAUUAAACAUUGUUUAUUUGAAAAGGUUUUGAACGAUUACCUAUUGGGUUUUAAAAGAUUCAUAAGACAACGAUAACCACUGAGCUUGAAAAUAGUUUUUUUUUAUUAAAUAUCUUCUUAUGACAAUUCUAAAACUCCGUGUUGAGACCGUGUGGCUAGGUUUUCACUCC
Arachis duranensis is the source of this 1804-nucleotide long non-coding RNA. RefSeq lists it as uncharacterized. The record is from RefSeq and is a predicted model, not a curated record. The transcript is spliced from 4 exons. NCBI's taxonomy places the organism in Eukaryota, Viridiplantae, Streptophyta, Magnoliopsida, Fabales, Fabaceae.